RNAcentral lists this ribosomal RNA (433 nucleotides) under uncultured bacterium. Its description in RNAcentral is "partial 16S ribosomal RNA". It matches the Rfam family "Bacterial small subunit ribosomal RNA", at positions 29 to 507 of the family's 1533-position model. The record is from RNAcentral.
AACGAACGCUGGCGGCAUGCCUAACACAUGCAAGUCGAACGAGACCUUCGGGUCUAGUGGCGCACGGGUGCGUAACGCGUGGGAACCUGCCCUUAGGUUCGGAAUAACUCCCCGAAAGGGGUGCUAAUACCGGAUAAUGUCUUCGGACCAAAGAUUUAUCGCCUUUGGAUGGGCCCGCGUUGGAUUAGCUAGUUGGUAGGGUAAAAGCCUACCAAGGCGACGAUCCAUAGCUGGUCUGAGAGGAUGAUCAGCCACACUGGGACUGAGACACGGCCCAGACUACUACGGGAGGCAGCAGUGGGGAAUAUUGGACAAUGGGCUAAAGCCUGAUCCAGCAAUGCCGCGUGAGUGAUGAAGGCCUUAGGGUUGUAAAGCUCUUUUACCCGGGAUGAUAAUGACAGUACCGGGAGAAUAAGCACCGGCUAACUUCGUG